GACGAACGCUGGCGGCGUGCUUAACACAUGCAAGUCGAACGGAAAGGCCCUGCUUUUGUGGGGUGCUCGAGUGGCGAACGGGUGAGUAACACGUGAGUAACCUGCCCUUGACUUUGGGAUAACUUCAGGAAACUGGGGCUAAUACCGGAUAGGAGCUCCUGCUGCAUGGUGGGGGUUGGAAAGUUUCGGCGGUUGGGGAUGGACUCGCGGCUUAUCAGCUUGUUGGUGGGGUAGUGGCUUACCAAGGCUUUGACGGGUAGCCGGCCUGAGAGGGUGACCGGCCACAUUGGGACUGAGAUACGGCCCAGACUCCUACGGGAGGCAGCAGUGGGGAAUAUUGCACAGUGGGCGGAAGCCUGAUGCAGCAACGCCGCGUGCGGGAUGACGGCCUUCGGGUUGUAAACCGCUUUCGCCUGUGACGAAGCGUGAGUGACGGUAAUGGGUAAAGAAGCACCGGCUAACUACGU
RNAcentral lists this ribosomal RNA (467 nucleotides) under uncultured bacterium. RNAcentral's name for it is "partial 16S ribosomal RNA". It matches the Rfam family "Bacterial small subunit ribosomal RNA", at positions 28 to 506 of the family's 1533-position model. The record is from RNAcentral.